GAUGAACGCUGGCGGCGUGCCUAAUACAUGCAAGUCGAGCGAACGGACGAGAAGCUUGCUUCUCUGAUGUUAGCGGCGGACGGGUGAGUAACACGUGGAUAACCUACCUAUAAGACUGGGAUAACUUCGGGAAACCGGAGCUAAUACCGGAUAAUAUUUUGAACCGCAUGGUUCAAAAGUGAAAGACGGUCUUGCUGUCACUUAUAGAUGGAUCCGCGCUGCAUUAGCUAGUUGGUAAGGUAACGGCUUACCAAGGCAACGAUGCAUAGCCGACCUGAGAGGGUGAUCGGCCACACUGGAACUGAGACACGGUCCAGACUCCUACGGGAGGCAGCAGUAGGGAAUCUUCCGCAAUGGGCGAAAGCCUGACGGAGCAACGCCGCGUGAGUGAUGAAGGUCUUCGGAUCGUAAAACUCUGUUAUUAGGGAAGAACAUAUGUGUAAGUAACUGUGCACAUCUUGACGGUACCUAAUCAGAAAGCCACGGCUAACUACGUGCCAGCAGCCGCGGUAAUACGUAGGUGGCAAGCGUUAUCCGGAAUUAUUGGGCGUAAAGCGCGCGUAGGCGGUUUUUUAAGUCUGAUGUGAAAGCCCACGGCUCAACCGUGGAGGGUCAUUGGAAACUGGAAAACUUGAGUGCAGAAGAGGAAAGUGGAAUUCCAUGUGUAGCGGUGAAAUGCGCAGAGAUAUGGAGGAACACCAGUGGCGAAGGCGACUUUCUGGUCUGUAACUGACGCUGAUGCGCGAAAGCGUGGGGAUCAAACAGGAUUAGAUACCCUGGUAGUCCACGCCGUAAACGAUGAGUGCUAAGUGUUAGGGGGUUUCCGCCCCUUAGUGCUGCAGCUAACGCAUUAAGCACUCCGCCUGGGGAGUACGACCGCAAGGUUGAAACUCAAAGGAAUUGACGGGGACCCGCACAAGCGGUGGAGCAUGUGGUUUAAUUCGAAGCAACGCGAAGAACCUUACCAAAUCUUGACAUCCUUUGACAACUCUAGAGAUAGAGCCUUCCCCUUCGGGGGACAAAGUGACAGGUGGUGCAUGGUUGUCGUCAGCUCGUGUCGUGAGAUGUUGGGUUAAGUCCCGCAACGAGCGCAACCCUUAAGCUUAGUUGCCAUCAUUAAGUUGGGCACUCUAAGUUGACUGCCGGUGACAAACCGGAGGAAGGUGGGGAUGACGCCAAAUCAUCAUGCCCCUUAUGAUUUGGGCUACACACGUGCUACAAUGGACAAUACAAAGGGCAGCGAAACCGCGAGGUCAAGCAAAUCCCAUAAAGUUGUUCUCAGUUCGGAUUGUAGUCUGCAACUCGACUACAUGAAGCUGGAAUCGCUAGUAAUCGUAGAUCAGCAUGCUACGGUGAAUACGUUCCCGGGUCU
Molecule: ribosomal RNA, 1372 nt
Filed under: uncultured bacterium
Lineage: Bacteria
Description: bacterial SSU rRNA
Rfam family: Bacterial small subunit ribosomal RNA
Source: RNAcentral